GUCUUCCUGUAGAACGGGCUCGGGAACAACAUCUUCCUGAUUUGAAAUGGUUAAAUAAGGAAUGAACUACAGCAGCCCAGUAAAGACAUCACACUAUCUCACCGCCACGGAAGUAAAGGUGGGUAGAAAACAAAAAUGACCAAUGGAGCAUAAUUUAUAACGAACUCGUUUAUUAAUAUAAAAACCUUUACUGUCCACUUACCUCGGUGAGAUCCAUGAAAACAACAUAUGAAAACAAUAACCUUAUAAUAUCAUGAAAUCAUACAUACUUUAUAACAUAACACAUAUCAUACCUUUACAUUUCAAUCAUCAGAAAUAGAUUUCCUCUUUUACCAGCCUACUAGUAUCCCUGGGGAUCCAUAGGGGGUCCCUGCUACACGUGAAUCAUUAACAUUUACAACCUGAUCCCAGGGCCGUCCCCAUACCCCGUCCGGUAUGGGCGCUAAAAACCAUGAAUCUCAAUACCCCGUCUGGUAUGAGGAUGAAACAGGCCGUCCCCAUACCCCAUCCGGUAUGGGCGCCAAAACACAUAAGGUCUCCAUACCCCGUCCGGUAUGAGAGAGCACGUUCCCAGUAGGGUUCCCUACGGACCUGGUCCGUCCACCAUCUCCCAGGAUAUCUAGUUAGGCUGUCCACAUUAUCCACUCANN
Molecule: long non-coding RNA, 650 nt
Filed under: Carica papaya (papaya)
Lineage: Eukaryota; Viridiplantae; Streptophyta; Magnoliopsida; Brassicales; Caricaceae
Description: long non-coding RNA (CPAP_LNC004515)
Source: RNAcentral